AUUCCAGCUCCAGUAGCGUAUAUUAUUACUGUUGUAGUUAAAAAGCUCGUAGUUGAAUAUCUGGCGUUGGGAAGCCCUGCCCGCCGCGAUUCGCGUGUGAGUUGUGGGGCGUCCCCGCCAUCCUGUGUGGGAGCCCGCCUACCCUUCAUUGGGCCGGGCGGUGCGAGCACACUCAGUUACUUUGAGAAAAUCUGCGCGUUCAAAGCAGGCACACGCUAUGAAAGCUUCAGCAUGGAAUAACAAGAUAGGACCUGGGUCUCUAUUUUGUUGGUUUCUAGGAUCGAGGUGAUGAUUGAUAGGGACAGUUGGGGGUGCUUGUAUUUAACGGCCAGAGGUGAAAUUCUUGGAUUCGUUAAAGACAAACUACCGCGAAAGCAUUCACCAAGGAUGUCUUCAUCG
RNAcentral lists this ribosomal RNA (399 nucleotides) under Metromonas sp. RNAcentral's name for it is "partial small subunit ribosomal RNA". It matches the Rfam family "Eukaryotic small subunit ribosomal RNA", at positions 582 to 975 of the family's 1831-position model. Lineage: Eukaryota; Cercozoa; Imbricatea; Metromonadea. The record is from RNAcentral.